This 548-nucleotide ribosomal RNA is filed under the name uncultured bacterium. RNAcentral describes it as "bacterial SSU rRNA". It matches the Rfam family "Bacterial small subunit ribosomal RNA", at positions 355 to 896 of the family's 1533-position model. The record is from RNAcentral.
UGGGGAAUUUUGGACAAUGGACGCAAGUCUGAUCCAGCCAUUCCGCGUGCAGGACGAAGGCCUUCGGGUUGUAAACUGCUUUUGUACAGAACGAAAAGGUCUCUAUUAAUACUAGGGGCUCAUGACGGUACUGUAAGAAUAAGCACCGGCUAACUACGUGCCAGCAGCCGCGGUAAUACGUAGGGUGCAAGCGUUAAUCGGAAUUACUGGGCGUAAAGCGUGCGCAGGCGGUUAUAUAAGACAGAUGUGAAAUCCCCGGGCUCAACCUGGGAACUGCAUUUGUGACUGUAUAGCUGGAGUGCGGCAGAGGGGGAUGGAAUUCCGCGUGUAGCAGUGAAAUGCGUAGAUAUGCGGAGGAACACCGAUGGCGAAGGCAAUCCCCUGGGCCUGCACUGACGCUCAUGCACGAAAGCGUGGGGAGCAAACAGGAUUAGAUACCCUGGUAGUCCACGCCCUAAACGAUGUCAACUGGUUGUUGGGUCUUCACUGACUCAGUAACGAAGCUAACGCGUGAAGUAGGCCGCCUGGGGAGUACGGCCGCAAGGUUG